This 721-nucleotide ribosomal RNA is filed under the name uncultured actinomycete. RNAcentral's name for it is "bacterial SSU rRNA". It matches the Rfam family "Bacterial small subunit ribosomal RNA", at positions 678 to 1395 of the family's 1533-position model. Lineage: Bacteria; Bacillati; Actinomycetota; Actinomycetes; Actinomycetales. The record is from RNAcentral.
GCGGUGAAAUGCGCAGAUAUCGGGAGGAACACCGGUGGCGAAGGCGGUUCUCUGGGCCUGUUCUGACGCUGAGGAGCGAAAGCGUGGGGAGCGAACAGGAUUAGAUACCCUGGUAGUCCACGCCGUAAACGUUGGGCGCUAGGUGUGGGGUUCUUCCACGGAUUCCGCGCCGUAGCUAACGCAUUAAGCGCCCCGCCUGGGGAGUACGGCCGCAAGGCUAAAACUCAAAGGAAUUGACGGGGGCCCGCACAAGCGGCGGAGCAUGUUGCUUAAUUCGACGCAACGCGAAGAACCUUACCAAGGCUUGACAUCGCCGGAAAUCCCGCAGAGAUGCGGGGUCCUUUUUGGGCCGGUGACAGGUGGUGCUUGGCUGUCGUCAGCUCGUGUCGUGAGAUGUUGGGUUAAGGUCCCGCAACGAGCGCAACCCUCGUUCCAUGUUGCCAGCCACUUAUUGGUGGGGACUCAUGGGAGAACCGCCGGGGUCAACUCGGAAGAAGGGGGGAUGAGGCAAGGCAUCAUGCCCCUUAUGCCCUUGGGCUUCAAACAUGCUACAAUGGCCGAUACAGAGGGCUGCGAUACCGGGAGGUGGAGCGAAUCCCUUAAAGCCGGUAACAGGUUCGGAUCGAAGUCUGGAACUCGACUUCUUGAAGUCGGAGUCGCUGGUAAUCCCAGAUCCGCAACGCUGCGGUGAAUACGUUCCCGGGCCUUGAACACACCGCCC